This 619-nucleotide ribosomal RNA is filed under the name uncultured bacterium. RNAcentral describes it as "bacterial SSU rRNA". It matches the Rfam family "Bacterial small subunit ribosomal RNA", at positions 338 to 944 of the family's 1533-position model. The record is from RNAcentral.
CCUACGGGAGGCAGCAGUGGGGAAUAUUGGACAAUGGGCGCAAGCCUGAUCCAGCCAUGCCGCGUGUGUGAAGAAGGCCUUAGGGUUGUAAAGCACUUUCAGUGGGGAGAAAGGUAAUUCACUUAAUACGUGAGUUAAUUGAUGUUACCCACAGAAGAAGCACCGGCUAACUCCGUGCCAGCAGCCGCGGUAAUACGGAGGGUGCAAGCGUUAAUCGGAAUUACUGGGCGUAAAGCGCACGUAGGUGGUUUGUUAAGCUAGCUGUGAAAUCCCCGGGCUCAACCUGGGCACUGCAGUUAGAACUGGCAAGCUAGAGUAGGGUAGAGGGGUGUGGAAUUCCAGGUGUAGCGGUGAAAUGCGUAGAUAUCUGGAGGAACAUCAGUGGCGAAGGCGACACCCUGGACUCAUACUGACACUGAGGUGCGAAAAGCGUGGGGAGCAAACAGGGUUAGAUACCCUGGUAGUCCACGCCGUAAACGAUGUCUACUAGCCGUUGGGAGCCUUGAGCUCUUAGUGGCGCAGCUAACGCACUAAGUAGACCGCCUGGGGAGUACGGUCGCAAGAUUAAAAACUUAAAGGAAAUUGACGGNNGAGAGAGCGAGAGACACGAGGGAGGAGG